Molecule: ribosomal RNA, 735 nt
Filed under: Salmonella enterica
Lineage: Bacteria; Pseudomonadati; Pseudomonadota; Gammaproteobacteria; Enterobacterales; Enterobacteriaceae
Also listed under: 1 other name
Description: partial 23S ribosomal RNA
Rfam family: Bacterial large subunit ribosomal RNA
Source: RNAcentral
CCCGCGGCAAGACGGAAAGACCCCGUGAACCUUUACUAUAGCUUGACACUGAACAUUGAGCCUUGAUGUGUAGGAUAGGUGGGAGGCUUUGAAGUGUGGACGCCAGUCUGCAUGGAGCCGACCUUGAAAUACCACCCUUUAAUGUUUGAUGUUCUAACGUGGACCCGUUACCCGGGUUGCGGACAGUGUCUGGUGGGUAGUUUGACUGGGGCGGUCUCCUCCUAAAGAGUAACGGAGGAGCACGAAGGUUGGCUAAUCCUGGUCGGACAUCAGGAGGUUAGUGCAAUGGCAUAAGCCAGCUUGACUGCGAGCGUGACGGCGCGAGCAGGUGCGAAAGCAGGUCAUAGUGAUCCGGUGGUUCUGAAUGGAAGGGCCAUCGCUCAACGGAUAAAAGGUACUCCGGGGAUAACAGGCUGAUACCGCCCAAGAGUUCAUAUCGACGGCGGUGUUUGGCACCUCGAUGUCGGCUCAUCACAUCCUGGGGCUGAAGUAGGUCCCAAGGGUAUGGCUGUUCGCCAUUUAAAGUGGUACGCGAGCUGGGUUUAGAACGUCGUGAGACAGUUCGGUCCCUAUCUGCCGUGGGCGCUGGAGAACUGAGGGGGGCUGCUCCUAGUACGAGAGGACCGGAGUGGACGCAUCACUGGUGUUCGGGUUGUCAUGCCAAUGGCACUGCCCGGUAGCUAAAUGCGGAAGAGAUAAGUGCUGAAAGCAUCUAAGCACGAAACUUGCCCCGAG